UUCAUCAGAUAAUCCAACCAUCUUAGACUUGAUCAUUCCACCAGAAUCAAUUCUUGAGGAAAUAGGUUCACCUUCUUCUUCAGCCAUAUUCCCAUUUCAAGAGUACUCCUCCUCCAUCAUCUUCACCAUCUCGACGAAGCAAUCAACAUGGUGUUGCAGACUCUGCACAUCUACAGAGAAUGACAAGUUGUGUCUCUCGCUUUGGAGUUGUGGAAGAAUCUGAGGUAAGAUAUGGGAUUCGAGUAAAUCUUCGAAUUCCCAAACUGCCUCUUUUAUGAGUUCAUCCACAGCAUUCACCUCCGUCCUGAUCUUGCUGCAGCUGGUCUCGUCCAAUUCUAGUAGAAUUCCCUGCAAGCUAUCCAUCUGGUCGUAGGCAGGUUGCAGGAUUAGUGGAGAGUGGGAAACGAGAGAAAUGCGAGACGAUUGUAGAAUACGCAGAAUCGUAUUCUUGAGAGAAGUGGCUGCACCAUAAGCCGCCAUGACUUGAUUGAAAUAUGAUUGAAACAGGAUAAGGAUUUUGAAGGUGCACUUGUUAAAAUGAGAGUGGUUGAUUGAGCCUUUCCACAAAGUCAGCUCUUUACAUAUAUUGAUUAAUGAAACCUUCAUGAACACCGUAUACUCAGCCGCUAUAUUGUUUUUAAAUUGAAUUGAUUUAGACAGAUGCUUUGACAUUUCUGAAAUAAAUUGUGCUAACUUGACAUUUCUCAUGUGUGCUUGCAUGGUGCGUUUACUUUGAUAAAUAAGUUUAUUCAUGGAAAAUGAUGAAUAAUAAAAAUUUGUACCUUUAAAUGUCUCAAAUCUUUUCUAAUAUUUGACACAAAAUAGAAAUUCACCAUUUUUCCUUCCUUAUCUUUACUUCGAUGUAUUAAUUUUUUUAAUGUACAUCUUCAAAAGUGGGCCUCAAAGAAAUUGAGUUGAAUUUGAUGCCUUUUAAUAGUUAGGUAGAAUUUAGAAGAUAAAUGGAGUUGGGCCUUAAUUUUUGUAUUGGGCCAAUUUUUUUAUUAUUAUUAUAUGGAGAAGCCCAAUUAGUCUAUGUUAGUUCAUAAGAAAUUGUAAACUAUUCCUCAAAGAAAUCAAAAUAACAGAAAGAAGACAACAGCAACAUGAGUUCUCAAAAAUAAGCUCAUCCAAAUACUCAUCUCAAGCCAGAAUCUGAAAUUUUUUAGCUAUUAAAAAAAAACACAAACUGAUUACACACAAUAUCAAAACAAAGUGAAAAUCAUGCACAACUCAAAAAAAUUACAAUCCUUGAAUUGAACAAGGGACUAAUGUUUUCCACAAAUCCAACUCACAAAAAUUUAGCACAAUUCAGCACUCGGCUUAAUAAUCCACAACAAAACCAGUUACAAGUCACAAUCCUUAAAUUCACACAACAAUGUGGUAACACAACAUUCGGGAUAAUGCGGCUCCUUCGGCUCUCUCAUUAACCUGAAAAUUUAUAGAUGCACAACUUCAAAUUGAAAUUAACCAAGCUUAUUGUGACAUGAAUUGAUUUGGUUUGUCCGGAAAAGAAGGGGAUGCAGGCAGAAACAUUAAGACAGUGAUAUAUUGCAGAGUAGAAAGAGUAACCUGUAAGGCAAGUUGCAGAGUGACUUGAGCUCAAAAAGAAGAUUCGACGAUAAGUUCAAAGGCAAACUUGUCUUUUAAUUGAUUGGCACAAGCGACAGCUAAAGGAUUGCAGUCAACUAAGCCAAUAUGUGUGAUCCAAGAAUGAUCAUACGGCCAAUCAAGUUGUUGUAAUUUGUAGCAAUGCCUCAUGAUUAGGUUGCGGAGCACUGGGAAGCUUCCACGUUGAGGUCUCCAUUGCACCAAAUCGAUGUCAUCAAUUUGAAGGUCUUCAAGUUUCAAAAAAGCCCCUGAUUCUAUUUCCCACUCUGGGCCUCGAAACGAAUACCAUCUUAAUGAGAGUUUCAUGAGAUUUGGCAGCAGCGAACCAAUGUCAUUCAUGUACUUCCAAGGAUACCCCCCUAACCCACUCAAAACUAACGCUUUGAGACUUGAUGGGAACAUUGAAAGAGGAAUCGUAUUAUACUCAAACUUUAUCACGGGAUUGUGGACCCAAUAUUGAAGGUUGUCCAAAUUCCGGAGUUCUGAGAUAUAACCCAAACAACUCAAUGAUUUGCUUUCAUCAAUAUCAUCAUCGUCAUAAGGCUUCAAGUCCACUUCAAUCACUAAUGUCUGUAAAUUAGGAAUUCUUUUGAGAACUUCCCUUGUACAACUGUUUGCACUCACACCAACAAGUUUGACGAGUUUGUUCAAGGUAGCAUCAUCAGUAUUAGGGGUUGGCAGAUCGCGUCCCACGAUCACAAUAAGCUCUAGUUCUUGCAUGUCCCAAAUUUGCACAGGCAUAUAAGACUGAACUCCACGCUUCUUAAUGUAAAUAUGUGGAUGGAUAAUCAAGAAUUGAAGGUGAAAAAGGUUGGAUAUGGAAGGAGGGAGCUCCCCGUUGCAAGUUAGGGCAAGGUACCGCAAACAAACUAGUUUCAAAAUUUCAAUUGGGAAGUGAUAAAAUCGGACAACACCAGUUUCUAGUACCCUGAGCAACUUGAAACCCAUGGCAUGUAUUGGGAUUGGAUAUUCCUGAGAAGCACCAAAACAAAGGAGAGAACGGGCAGUGGAUGCACAAUCAUUUUUUACCGAAUCACACACUUGUUUGAAGUAGAAUAAACUGCUCCAAUGGGCACACAAGCGGCGCUGGCCUUCUAUAACAUCAUCAAGACUUUGUAAGACAUGCAGAAACUUGAUCCUACUAGCUUCUUCCUUACACAAGUGCUGCCAGCAAGAAUGCACGCGAUAGUUUAUCCUUAAAAUAGAAUAAUCUAUUUUGUUGAGAACAAGAUGAUACCGCAUAGAAAGAUUUUCCAAGCGUGAAUAGAAAACAUCUUCAAAACUUUCUUCUCCAAUUUGUUCAAGAAAACCCUCAGCACUGAACAGAUCUUUGAGCAUGACUGGAUCGAUCAAAUCAAUAUAUGGAGGGAAUGCUCCCAAAUAGAGAAAAAGCAUUUUUAAAUGUUGGGGUAAGUAGUCAUAGCUUGGGAAAAGUACCUCUGAUAUUCGAUUAUAUGCUUCCACAAAGACUGAACUGUGUUGUUUGAGUACCUCAGUCCAGUAUUCUGGGGUCUUGUCAGCUUUUGAUAGGAGCUCUGCAACGGUGACUAUCAUAAGAGGAAGACCUUCACAUUUCUUGGCAAUCUUCUCUCCCAGUUCCUCAAGUUGAAUAGGGAAACCCUCUUCACCAAAUACCUUCUCACCAAGUAAUUCCUUACUUUCUUCUUCAUUCAACAAGCGCACUAUUUCUCUCCCAUCCUUCGCUCCGAAUACUACAUCUUGUCUACUUGUAAGUAAGAAUCGAAUCCUUCCGAAAAUAUUCUUCAUUCUCAAGCAAUUAAUUGUCAAACGAUUUGUUAAUUGUCUCUCCCAAACAUCAUCCAACACGAUAAGACAUUUCUUGCGCUUCAAUCUUUGUUUGAGGAAUCCAACUAACUCAUCCAUGUCAUCAUCUCCUUGGGUAAGCAUUUCAUAAGCAUUUGGAUCCACUUGAGCUAGAACGCAUCGUAAUAGUACACCGAACUCGCAUUUUCUCCCCACUUUCACCCAUGCUCGAAACUUAAAAUGGCUCCGAAUUGAUGGAUCUUCAAAUAUAUGCUUAGCAAGAGUUGUCUUUCCAAUGCCCGCCAUCCCAGUAAUCGAAUAGUUUUUACCUUUAAGAAGAUAAUCUCUGGCUUUUUCAAAUUCAUCAGAUAAUCCAACCAUCCUUGACUUGAUCAUUCCACCAGAAUCAAUUCUUGAGGAAAUAGGCUCGCCUUCUUCUUCAGCCAUAUUCUCCAUUUCAUUAGUGUACUCCUCCUCCAUCAUCUUCAUCUUCCCGACGAAGCAAUCAACAUGGUGUUGCAGACUCUGCAGAUCUACAGAGAAUGACAAGUUGUGUCUCUCGCUUUCGAGUUGUUGAAGAAUCUGAGGUAAGACAUGGGAUUCGAGUAAAUCUUCGAAUUCCCAAACUGCAUCUUUGAUUCGUUCAUCCGCAGCAUUCACCUCAAUCCUGAUCUUGCUGCAGCUGGUCUCGUCCAAUAAUCGCAGAACUUUCAGCAAGCGAUCCAUCUCGUCGUAGGCAGGUUGUAAGAUUUGUGGAGAGUGGGAAACGAGAGAAAUGCGAGACGAUUGUAGAAUACGCUGAAUCGUAUUCCUGAGAGAACCCGCCGCACCAUAAGCCGCCAUUACUCGAUUGAAAUAUGAGUGUGGUGGUGGUGGCGGCGGCGGCAACGGUGGUAGGUGGUGGGAGGAUAAGGAUUUUGAAGGUGCGAUUGAUCAAAUGAGUGGUUGAGUUUGAGCUCUUGCACAAAGUCAGGUCUCUCGACAUUGAGGGCAUUUGCAUGUGCACAUCACUCAGUAAAGAUAACAU
Molecule: long non-coding RNA, 4399 nt
Filed under: Salvia miltiorrhiza (redroot sage)
Lineage: Eukaryota; Viridiplantae; Streptophyta; Magnoliopsida; Lamiales; Lamiaceae
Description: long non-coding RNA (SMIL_LNC007627)
Source: RNAcentral